This 2451-nucleotide long non-coding RNA is filed under the name Capsicum annuum. Its description in RNAcentral is "long non-coding RNA (CANN_LNC015599)". The record is from RNAcentral. Lineage: Eukaryota; Viridiplantae; Streptophyta; Magnoliopsida; Solanales; Solanaceae.
CAUUUUACAGUUCACAAUUGUCAAAUCUGAAUAACUAUGAGUGUGGUAAGCCUUCUCCUUUUUCCUCUAGCAAAAUCUCAAAAGUGACAGUGUCAGAUUUAUCAGUCUCCAUUUUCUUAGAAGAACGAUCCAUCGAGAGGCUGAUACCGAUGCACAAGAAACAGAUUUAACAGGUUCAUCCGCCAACAUGUUAUCUUUCCUGACUGUAUGUUCAAUCACUACAUGAUGUUGGCUAUCAGAAUAUUAAUCCUUUUUAUCUCCAUUGCUAUAAACCCAAAUUUCAUCUAGAAUUUUUUUAAGAGAGGGUACCUGUUUCCAAUACCACAGGUAGUAGAUGAUGAUAUGUAUAGUGCUCCAACUGAAUCCUCAAGGCCAUAGUUUCUGCCAGUAGUAUAGAUCCCUCUCCGACCCUUCUUUCUCCAUAAAGCAAGUCUCAUCUUUUGUUUGGCGGCGGGGUAGGAUUUUGCACUAAUUUUAAUAGUAUAUUACAAAGACCCUUCUAAUAUCAUAACACAAUAACAUCUACAAUAUAAUUUUUAAAGAAUGUUUAUUUAGAAAGAUUUCUCCUAAUAAAUUUUAAAAUUUUCAAUUUUAUCAUUUGAUCAAAUCAUAUCAAAUAAUAUAUUUUUAUUUAAUUUUUCAUAUCAUCUCAUGAUUUACAAACUAAAAGCUUUUGCGUAUAAGAGCUUUUCAAUCAUAUUUUCAAUAGUCCUGCUACUGUAUUUUUAAAAAUAAAAAUAAAAUAUUACUUUUAAAUUAAUUUUUAACCAUGUUAUUUUAAGCUUUAUUUUUAACCAUGACAAGCAGCAGAUGAAGAUUAUAUCAAGAACGAAGUUCAUGUACGUGAUAUGAAGAGAAGACGGAUCAAGUGAAGAAAAUCAAGCCAAAAAAGGAGAUUUGUUAAGAUUUUUGCCUUGAUUUUCUUACUAUAUUUAAAUUUUACUUUUUCUUUGAAGGAAAAUAAAAGUUAUCAUAAUUAUUUUUACUUUUUUUGAAAAAAAAAAUAUAAUUAUUUUUCAUAUUUGACUAACCUCUUGGAGGAAAGGUUUUGGACAUCUAUAAUAGAAGAUGUCUUUUUAUACCAUAAUACAAUAGCAUCCACAAUGUAGUCUUUUAAGAGUUAGAAGAGCUUUUUUCAUAUCAUAAUACAAUAAUAUCCACAAUGUAGUCUCUCAAGAAUUUCGUUUAGGAGAGAUUUUCUCUCUCAUUAAUUUUAUACUUUUUAGUAUUAUUUUUAAUAUUAGGUUUUAUAUGUAGGUCAAUUGGUCAAAUCACAUAAUAAUAUUAUGUUUUUAGUAUGUUUUUCUUUGUCAUCUGAGUUAUUGUUUUUUAUAAUUUGCAACCAAUAGCUUCCGCAUGACACCUCUCGAUUCCGUACCCAACAUCAUCCUCAUUUCUAAUACAAGAUACACUUGAACUUGGAUCAGGAUUUUCCAUAAUUACUCCGUCAGAAUUAUAUUUGAAACUGCCACCAUCUGGUAACUUCCAAUAGACCACUUUACAUUUGAUUUGUUGUGAUUUGACAAUAUUUUCAACGCCUCAAAAUAAGGGAUUGUUGUGUGAUGUUAAGCACUUUUUGAUAGAUUUGAUGUGUAUUUGUGAGUUUGUGCAGAGAAAUAGGUGUCGAAAGGGAAUAACAAAAAAGGGAUGAAAAAGUAUUUACUAACUCUUAGAGCUAAGGUACGACUCGUAAAGACAAGGCAUGAAUCGCACCAAGGCCCGCUCUGAUGGCAAAAGCUGAGAUCCAAAAGAAGUCAAGUCCAGGUCCAAUAUACGAGUCCCUUUUAACGAGUCGUUAGCUUAGGUCAAGAGUCUCUGAUCUGUGUGUAAAUUGUAAAGUCAAAUAUCAGAGAAAAUGCAAUGUUAAGUCAGUGAUUACGGAUAGAAGUCAACGUAUGGAUCAUCCUCACUCAUUCUGGUGAAUUGUGAGAAGAAAGUGCAGAAGGUUGAAAAGUUAAGAGUCAAGUCACCACGGAAGGAAGCUACGAGCCACAUGAUGAAGGUAUGAAUUAUGUUCACUCAUUUGAAAAAUUAUAGGAAGCAACUACUAAAAGGUGCAAAACAUGACCCAGGAGGCAUGAGUCAAUGUACGACUCGUAUGAUCAAAGAGUGAGUCGUAUCGAGAGAUAGCAGAAGAACUGAAGAAGGAUAAAGAACGAGCUCCAAUUAUUACCUACGAGUCGUGACUUCACCGUACAACUCAUAGGCAUUGCCGAACAUGCAAUCCCAUUAUAUAUAGGAUAACUUUUGUUUUUAUCUAUAAAUACCUUUCCUAGGUUUUUAUUAUAGUUUACACUCUCUGAAGCCUUGGAAACUUAUUUUAUUCUUGGGUUUUGGAAAAUUACUCAUACUUAGAUUAUUGAUCACUAAUUCUUCUUUGAUAAUUGAAGAUCUCGAUUUAUUCACUCAAUUUGUAAGUUUAUAAAUAAUUUUUAAUUGUGAUUCUCAAGC